This 491-nucleotide ribosomal RNA is filed under the name uncultured bacterium. RNAcentral describes it as "partial 16S ribosomal RNA". It matches the Rfam family "Bacterial small subunit ribosomal RNA", at positions 29 to 506 of the family's 1533-position model. The record is from RNAcentral.
AGUGAACGCUGGCGGUAGGCCUAACACAUGCCAGUCGAACGGCAGCACAGUAAGAGCUUGCUCUUACGGGUGGCGAGUGGCGGACGGGUGAGGAAUACAUCGGAAUCUACUUUUUCGUGGGGGAUAAUGUAGGGAAACUUACGCUAAUACCGCAUACGACCUACGGGUGAAAGCAGGGGAUCUUCGGACCUUGCGCGAUUGAAUGAGCCGAUGUCGGAUUAGCUAGUUGGCGGGGUAAAGGCCCACCAAGGCGACGAUCCGUAGCUGGUCUGAGAGGAUGAGCAGCCACAGGGGAAAGGACACGCGGCCCAGCCCCCGACGGGGGGCGGCAGGGGGGAAUAUUGAAGAAGGGGCGAAAGCCUGACCCAGCCAUACCGGGUGGGGAAAGGGGGCUUUGGGGUUAAAAACCCUUUUGGUGGGAAAAAAAAAGCAGCGGGUUAAUCCCCCGCUGUCCUGACGGUACCAAAAGAAUAAGCACCGGCUAACUUCGC